UUUAAAGACCCCAUCCACGGUGGAGCGUGAAGAACUGCAGAAACCCUUGUCAAGAGUGUGGGAAAAUAGAAGAUAUGCCCUAUUUAUGUGUGUUCCCCAAGAAACCUACAGUCCAGCUGGCAAUAAAUGAAGAAAGGGCCGUGGUUUGCAAACAAAUCCCACUCACUUACUAAUACAGGCCCCCUUCCUCCGGAUGCCCACUCCUUCCAGGCCCAGUCAGCCCCAGAGGCCUGCAGAGACCCUCCUNUCCCCUCCUUGUUCCUCCUUCAAUUAAAGGUUAGUUAAUUGGAAAACAAUUACUUUCUGACUAUAUACUGCUUUUUAGUUGUUGUUAAUCUUCUCUCACCACCAGCCCCCCUUCCAACUUGUCUGGUUACCUCAGGAAAUGUUUUCAUGAUCACUUUCACUCUCAAGAGUUUAGAGCCAUAACAACAAAGCAAAACAAAAAUAACAAAAAAAUUCUGAUAUUGUUAUAGUCUUAGAUGAAUGGAAAUGGUGUUUAAUGGAAAAAUAUAACCUUUGAUGAACCAGAAGUUCUUUUCUGAAUCUUCACAGACUCCACCUCCUUUCUUUAUGUGGCUUCCCAACAAGUUGCAUUCAGUACUAUUAAAUGAAGGCUCUACUCUCUUCCUAGUUUGGUAACAUUACUCCUUUCUUUUUUUUCCUCCACCACUUUUCAACUGUUAUGAGGAAGCAGAAUUUUAAAAUCUGACCUGAUAAGUUAACCACUUUAUGUCAUUGUUUUUUGUAAACAAUGUGUAACACGUUUAAAAUCUGAAAGGUAUUAGAUUCCACAUGAUCACGAGACCGGCAAACUUAGAACACAGCAGAAAUGGUUUCUGGGAAAGACUGUGAAGCCGCUGCAUGAUUAAUUGUCAGAUUGCACUAGUAUUGGGUUUAGAGGAAGAAGUGAUCGCUGGGCUAGAGGGAUCUGAAAAGGUUAGACUCUUAAACGUGGGGUGGCAUUUAGAAAAGUGUUUUCAGGAGUUAAGAGAAGGGAGACGCUAUUGUUCUGAACUGAGGCUGUAUCCUAGAAUGUUUUUUAAUACCUUUGUCCAGAAAGCAGCACUGCCCACACACCACAAAGUCUGUGUGUGUAUCCCCUUCCUUGUCUUGCCCUCAUUUCCUCUCUCUCACCUCACAGUCUGUCUCUCCUGAAGCCGGGCCCCCAAGCCUCCACCUCCAUGGCCUGCAUAGUUGAGAGAAGCAGCAGAAGGCUGAGAACAGAAACAAGGAUGAAGCUGUGCCGUGCUUGUAAACUGCGCGGAGUCGGAAAGCAAGCUGGGUUUGCGAGAAGCUGUCUUCAUCCACAUUUCACAGAUGAGGGAAUGGUCCUCAGAACAGCUUGUCCCUCUCUCCAACCUCCAGCCAGAGAAAGGAAGCCUGGGCUGGACCUGCCUGGUCCCUGAGCUGGUGUCAGAAAAUCCUCUGCAACAACAACAUGACAGGAGAAGGGAGACUAUAAGCCACUGCGAUCCCGGGCCCAGCACGGCACCUGGAGCUCCUUCAUCGUUAAGUAAUUGGCAUUAUGUAAAAAGAUCCAAGUAGUAGGUCAGGGACAGGGAAAGGAGCAGGGGCAUAUAAGAAAAAGAAAAAUGCAAAUGUUCAGAGUUCCCUGGUGGCCUGGCAGGUUAAAGACCUGGCAUUGUCACGGCUGUGGCUCGGGUUGUUGCUGUGGCAAGGGUUAAGUCCCUGGCCUAGGAACUUCUGCUUGCCUUGAGUGUGGCCAAAAAAAAAAAAAAA
RNAcentral lists this long non-coding RNA (1743 nucleotides) under Sus scrofa (pig). RNAcentral describes it as "lncRNA (ENSSSCG00015040869.1)". Lineage: Eukaryota; Metazoa; Chordata; Mammalia; Artiodactyla; Suidae. The record is from RNAcentral.